RNAcentral lists this small nuclear RNA (74 nucleotides) under Octodon degus (degu). The record is from RNAcentral. Lineage: Eukaryota; Metazoa; Chordata; Mammalia; Rodentia; Octodontidae.
ACAUGAUACAGAGCAGGUUAGCACAGCCCCUGCACAAGGGUGACACGCAAAUUCAUGAAGCAUUUCAUAUCUUU